RNAcentral lists this ribosomal RNA (227 nucleotides) under uncultured bacterium. RNAcentral's name for it is "partial 16S ribosomal RNA". It matches the Rfam family "Bacterial small subunit ribosomal RNA", at positions 568 to 774 of the family's 1533-position model. The record is from RNAcentral.
CGCGUAGGUGGCGGCAUAAGGCUGUGGUGAAAGUCCGGGGCUCAACCCCGGAUCGGCCGCGGCGACUGUGUCGCUCGGGUACUGUAGAGGCAGAUGGAAUUCCGGGUGUAGCGGUGGAAUGCGUAGAGAUCCGGAAGAACACCAGUGGCGAAGGCGGUCUGCUGGGCAGUGGGCUCGAAAGGGCCCUUCAACCGACACUGAGGCGCGACAGCGGUGGGGAGCAAACA